CCAGACUCCUACGGGAGGCAGCAGUGGGGAAUAUUGCACAAUGGGGGAAACCCUGAUGCAGCGACGCCGCGUGAAGGACGAAGUAUUUCGGUACGUAAACUUCUAUCAGCAGGGAAGAAAAUGACGGUACCUGACCAAGAAGCCCCGGCUAACUACGUGCCAGCAGCCGCGGUAAUACGUAGGGGGCAAGCGUUAUCCGGAUUUACUGGGUGUAAAGGGAGCGUAGACGGCCAUGCAAGUCUGAUGUGAAAACCCGGGGCUCAACCCCGGGACUGCAUUGGAAACUGUGUGGCUGGAGUGUCGGAGAGGCAAGUGGAAUUCCUAGUGUAGCGGUGAAAUGCGUAGAUAUUAGGAGGAACACCAGUGGCGAAGGCGGCUUGCUGGACGACGACUGACGUUGAGGCUCGAAAGCGUGGGGAGCAAACAGGAUUAGAUACCCCAGUAGA
Molecule: ribosomal RNA, 446 nt
Filed under: uncultured bacterium
Lineage: Bacteria
Description: bacterial SSU rRNA
Rfam family: Bacterial small subunit ribosomal RNA
Source: RNAcentral